UACAUAUUAUAAAACCCAGGUAUCGCUUCUUGGCCUUUUGGCUAAGAUCAAGUGUACAAAAUACGGGUUAGGACAGGC
Molecule: microRNA precursor, 78 nt
Filed under: Chlorocebus sabaeus (green monkey)
Lineage: Eukaryota; Metazoa; Chordata; Mammalia; Primates; Cercopithecidae
Description: miRNA (ENSCSAG00000023381.1)
Source: RNAcentral